Non-coding RNA from Caenorhabditis elegans, 150 nucleotides. Lineage: Eukaryota; Metazoa; Nematoda; Chromadorea; Rhabditida; Rhabditidae. The record is from Ensembl.
UUCUAGUCACCAAACAGCUCACAUGACACUACUGCGAGCCAAAAAAUUGAAUUGAAGAGUGUCAUUCGGGGGGUGACUUCUUCGCCAUCCUUUUAAAAUGUUUUUGAACCGAUUUCUGGGAAUUUUGAGAAAAUUUUUGAGCAAUUUCGA